This is a non-coding RNA of Podarcis lilfordi (Lilford's wall lizard), 72 nucleotides long. The record is from the annotation of a GenBank genome assembly. Lineage: Eukaryota; Metazoa; Chordata; Lepidosauria; Squamata; Lacertidae.
GCAAUUGUAAUAAAUCGGUAAAUCAUUAGAUUAUUAAUCUCAGGGUUGUGGGUUUAAGCCCCACAUUGGGCA